CGUCACAUGUGCAAACACUCAUCACUUUAUUGAACACCAACGAAUCAUUGGCUUAGUAUAGGCCUAUAAAUAGGUCAAAUGUCAAGAUGUCUGUUUUGAACAAUGGAUGACAACGCAGAAAGAGCCAGGAGAGGUGGAGGUAGAGGCAGAGGACGAGCACGAGGUGUUCGGGUUCGAGGAGGAGGAGUUGGAAGAGGAGGAAGGGGAGGAAGAGGACGAGCUGGACGAGUUGGACAUGGAAGAGGACGAGGGCAAAGAAGGGAAAUAAGGAGAGCCGUCUCAGAUGAGAUUAGGGCUACAUUGAUUGAUCAUGUGAUCAACCAUGGGUUGACCAUGAGGGAGGCUGGACUGAGGGUCCAGCCAAAUGUAAAUCGAUUUACGGUGGCAGGCAUUAUCCGAACAUAUCGAAAUGAGAACAGAGUGGAAAGGCAAAGGAAUCGUGGAGGGCGAGGGCGCAAAUUCACCGACGAGCAAGAGACCGAAAUCAUAAAUAUGGUUCUGGCAAAUAAUGUGAUUAGAAUCCAUCAGAUCCAACACCAUAUUAUAAAUGAUGCAACUGUUUUCAAUAACAUUGUUACAGUAAGCUUGUCCACAAUUCAUCGUGUCCUCCAGAAGAAUCAGUUGCGCAUGAAACAGCUAUACAGGGUCCCAUUUGAAAGGAACUGCGACCGAGUGAAGAACCUACGUCAUGACUUUGUGGAUAGAAUUUUGGAGAUGGAUGCAGAUGGAGAUGUCCUCCAUGAAUAUA
Long non-coding RNA from Alosa sapidissima (American shad), 748 nucleotides. RefSeq lists it as uncharacterized. The transcript is spliced from 3 exons. NCBI's taxonomy places the organism in Eukaryota, Metazoa, Chordata, Actinopteri, Clupeiformes, Clupeidae. The record is from RefSeq and is a predicted model, not a curated record.